This 30-nucleotide non-coding RNA is filed under the name Rattus norvegicus (Norway rat). The record is from RNAcentral. Lineage: Eukaryota; Metazoa; Chordata; Mammalia; Rodentia; Muridae.
CCACCAUUUACUCAGGUUUUCUGGUGCACA